RNAcentral lists this long non-coding RNA (4058 nucleotides) under Oryza brachyantha (malo sina). RNAcentral's name for it is "long non-coding RNA (OBRA_LNC002651)". The record is from RNAcentral. Lineage: Eukaryota; Viridiplantae; Streptophyta; Magnoliopsida; Poales; Poaceae.
UGGGCACCGCCUGAUAUGGGUGGUUAGCAAACAAACUUGAUUGGUAAUAGGGUCAGGAUUUGAUAUGAUUGGUAAAAUAGGUCAGGAUUCGAUAUGAUUGGGUGGGUUAGCGAACAAACUUGAUUGAUCAGGAUUUGAUAUGAUAUGUGAGGGCACAUUACACAUGUGCAUGGCACUUUUUUUUUUUGCUUCGCGGUAAUGUUCUAUUCUCAUAUCUAUGGUUAACAUGCGUCGAGCUCGGUCGGUUAGGUUACUUUCGGUCCGGAAGCCACUCUUGUUGAGGAGAUCACUUCGGUUAUUUUUUAGAAGCGCAUGGUACAUUUUUUAUUUGACAUAAAGUAUAAAAAUAUUUAUAUUGAAAAUAUCAUCUUUGAAAUAUGUAUAAUCUCGCUAAAAACUAUAUAUAUAAAGUUUGUGUAUAUAUACAACAUAUGAUUGUUUGGCUUCUUUAGGGAAAAACCCUAAUGACAUAUUUGUAAACGAAAAAUAAUCUGUGAAUAAAAUUUUUAUAUAUGUGUUUUUAGCGAUCUAAAAACAAAGGCUAAAAAAUAAACUACGAUAAAAAGUCAAAAUCAACUCCAAAUUUAAGUUUGAAAAAUUAAAUUCUGGCUAAAAAGCAUAAGUAGAAGCGAAAGAUGAUAGAGAUAUAGCUGGUGCUCUCUUCAAUUUUUUAUUUGACGUUGUUGAGUUUUAGAUCUAUAUUUGUCCAUUUAUUUUAUUUAAAAAUUUUAUGUAAAUAUACAAACAUGUAAGUCAUGCUUAAAAUGCAUUAUAUAAUAAAUAAAACAAAAAAUUAAUACUAUAUUUCUUAAAAAUAGGACAGACGAUGAAACAUAAAUUCGAAAAAUUAACGGCGUCAAACAAAAUAAAAGGCGAUGAGAGUAUAUAGGAAGUAAUGUUAUAGCGGGUUAGCGGGUGUUCGAUGGAACUGCUACUCCUCUUCACUACAUCGGCACUACGGUAGAAAUUUUAGUUUUCCUUUUUUUUCGUCUAAAUAGGUAUAAUGGGCUGACGCUACCGGCCUACUAGGAUGGAGUGUCCAGGCCACAGUCGGCCCGCUAGCUUAUCAUUUGGACAAUCCGGCCCAACUUCUCUAUUAAUUCGACAACUGGCCCACUUUAUUUAGUGCUAUAAUUUAUAACAACAAUGUAGAGUUUAAUGAAAUGAAAAUUGGUCUAUCUACCGAUAUAGUCCUCAAGGUACUAAUCACGAAGAAUUAUGCUGAUUUGCCAAUACAUUACUGUCAUGUACAUCAAAAUAGUGACAGAGAGAAACUCGAUAAAUUAAUUUAUAGACGAGACAUACCGGUAAAUCAGAGAAAUCAACGUAGACAACUAAAUGGUUCAGCUCGGCUACCAUUACUUGGCAAAUUAACAAACCGAACUAUAUAUACUCGGGCAGCUCCUUGCAUAAUAACUAUCGACUAUUCGCGCAACACUUCCUAAAGUUGAAUUUUGCCUUUAUAAUAUUUGUUUUGUCUACAUGUAACGAUAUUUUUCCUCGAUAGACAGUAUCUAUCCGGUGGCUUGAUGACCAGCAACAUCCAUGGAGAUCUAGCUGGGCUUGAAUACAUAUGAGCCUGUGGGCUUUUAGGUGAACGACCGUUGAUAUUAACCUGGCUUCCAGGUCUUUAGUACCAUAUCGGUCAAGUAAUAAAAAACAAACCUCUUAAUAAAUGCCUUGCUGUACCAACUGGUACAACGCCUGGAAUGGGCGUUCAGCAAUUUAUCUUAAAUAUGCCCAAAUUAAGCAUAAUUACGUACACUACAUGAUGUGCUUAGCUCUUUUUUUUUAUUGGUUCGUACGAUACGCCUACUAUAAUACAAAUAUUACUUCUCCGUAUCUUUUACGUGUUAACUUUUAAUCUACAAUUGACCAUUCGUUUUGUUAUAAAAUUUGUACACACGUACAAAAUUAUAAGUCAUGUUUAAGGUGUCUUUAUAAUAAAUUAAAUUAUAUCAAAAUAAUUAAUGGUUAUAUAUUUUUAAUAAGAUGAAUAGUCAAAUACAAAUCAAAAAAUCAACACAUUAAAUAACUAUAAUACAAAUAUUACUUCCUCCAUUUCUUUUACGUGUUGACUUUUGAUCUACAAUUGACCAUUCGUUGUGUUAUAAAAUUUAUACACACGUGCAAAAUUAUAAGUCAUGUUUAAGGUGUCUUUAUAAUAAAUUAAAUUAUAUCAAAAUAAUUAAUGACUAUGUAUUUUUAAUAAGAUAAAUGGUCAAAUAUAAAUGAAAAAAAUCGACACAUUAAAUUAAAAAAUUGGAGAGAGUAGUGUUGGAAGGCUUACGUCAGUAAAUUUUUUUAAAAAAGAUCAAUUUCUGAGAGUGUAUGCCAUUAUAGUUAGACACACGGGCAGAUCUAGAGGAUAUGCUAGGUUUGCAUGGGUAUAUCCCGUAAUCCGGUGAUGUAUACCCCAUGUAUAUGUGUAUUUUAAAAAAGAAAAAAAAAGAAUACGUCUUGCUGUAGUCUCGCACGGGUUGGAAGGCAAGAAAGACCGGAGGCAAGCCAUGAGCGGCCCAAUUUUUGCUUUUUAGUAUUUUCUAAAAACUUAUUUUACAAAUAGAUUUCUAGAGAAAUUUAUUGCACGAAUAGACUUUGAGCGCACCAAUGUCACGGUGCUCCGUCCACGUUAUCAUGUCACAAUGACUUGGAGGAUGGCGCUAAUACCAUUGGCACCGUCUCGCGGUCGAAAAGAUUUAUUCAUGCAAUAAGUUUUUUAAAGUGGGAUGUUGAUAUGGGUUCUUCGGCUUUUCAUUAAAAAAAAUAAUGUACAGUAUAAUUGCUAUUUAAUAAAUGCUAACAUACUAAAUCAUUCGUCACGCAGGCGCUGCAUGGGAAGUUAAGUAUUUAUGUGAGUUACUUGGCACAAACGAUCACAUCUGCCGUUGGCCACCCGAUCGAGAAUAUGUAUCCAUACUGGCUGAAUUGAGCGAACCCAACAACAUAGUUACGUAGCCCAUAUUUGUUUUCAAGGGCCUCGAGACUAACAAAAGCACUUUAAUUUGUUUGUUGUUAUUCCUAGCACGUUGCCUAUGAGUACCUAUUUAAAUAAGGCAAUGUUGUGUUGUCGUAUUUUUUUGAUAUAAUUUUUUUGUUGGCUAUUCUAUUUUCUUUUGUUUGAAAAGUUAUUGCGUGUCUGAUUUCGUUAUUUUAGCAUGCGUUCCAUUUGCCAUUUAGGGCCGAAGUGAGACGCAUCAUGACCUGACACCGAGAUUACGCACAAAAUAUAUGUUAAAAAUAUGUUUUCUUAUAAGAGCUUAUAUCACAACAUUAGAACUGAAUUAUAUACGUCCUCCGGUUUUUAUAAUUUAGACCGUUGACUUUUGAAUCUACAUUUGUUCAUUCGUCCUAUUUAAAAGAUUUAUAUAAUUAUUGAUUGUUUUGUUAUGAUUUGAUUUAUUAAUAAAGUAACUUUUAAGUAUAUGAUUUAUACUUUUGCAUAUUUUUAGACAAAAACUUGAAAUAAGACGAAGGUGUAAAUCAAAAAUCAACGACGCCAUUAUAAAAAUCGAAGUGAGUAAUGUUUAUUGUAGUUUAGUUUUUCCACUGCAACGUUCGGUCACUUUUCUAGUAUGUAUAUGAAAACGGAAGGACUAGGCUGGAAUACGUUGUUUAGGUUCGAGUCCGAGUCCAAGUCGGCCGCCCAGUCGUACGCACACCUAAUCUCUCCUGGGCCGGCAGAACUACAUCGUAUCGGCCCAAAUUGGAUGCAGUGGGCCGGUGGGUGGCCUGUGGUUUCUAAUCCCAGUAUACCCCGUUUUGUACCAUACCGGUAGUUCAGCAACAUUGGUUUGUCCUCAUAAUGUGCGUUCGAUGGACACUGGGCACCGCCUGAUAUGGGUGGUUAGCAAACAAACUUGAUUUAUAAUAGUUCUGAUUUGAUUUGAUGAUAUGAAGGGCACAUUACACAUGCGCAUGGCACUUUUUGCGGUGCCACUCUUGUUGAGGAGAUCACUUCGGUUAUUUUUUAGAAACGCAUGGUACAUUUUUUAUUUUGACAUAAAGUAUAAAAAUAUUUAUAUUGAAAAUAUCAUCUUUGAAAUAUGUAUAUGUAG